GAUGAACGCUGGCGGCGUGCUUAACACAUGCAAGUCGAACGGGAAACCUUUUAUUGUGGCUUCUGCAGGUUUAGCUGGUUUCUAGUGGCGGCCGGGUUAAUAACGCGUUGGUAACCUGCCUUAUACAGGGGGAUAACACCCAGACAUGGUUGCUAAUACCGCAUAAGCGUACAGGACCGCAUGUUCCGGUGUGUAGAACUCCGGUGGCAUAAGAUGGACCCGCGUGUGGGUAGCUAGGUGGCAGGGUAACGGCCUACCAAGGCGGCGAUGCAUAGCCGGCCGGAGAGGGUGAACGGCCACGUUGGGACUGAGACACGGCCCAGACUGCUACGGGAGGCAGCAGUGGGGAAUAUUGCACAAUGGGGGAAACCCUGAUGCAGCGACGCCGCGUGAAAGAAGAAGUAUCUCGGUAUGUAAACUUCUAUCAGAAGGGAAGAUAGUGACGGUACCUGACUAAGAAGCCCCGGCUAACUACGUG
RNAcentral lists this ribosomal RNA (478 nucleotides) under uncultured bacterium. RNAcentral describes it as "partial 16S ribosomal RNA". It matches the Rfam family "Bacterial small subunit ribosomal RNA", at positions 28 to 507 of the family's 1533-position model. The record is from RNAcentral.